GGGGAUUUAGCUCAGCAGUGUAAGCACCUGCCUGGCAAGCAUGAGGUGAUGCCUUCAAUCUCCG
RNAcentral lists this transfer RNA (64 nucleotides) under Cavia porcellus (domestic guinea pig). It matches the Rfam family "tRNA". Rfam says of the family: Transfer RNA (tRNA) molecules are approximately 80 nucleotides in length. Their secondary structure includes four short double-helical elements and three loops (D, anti-codon, and T loops). The record is from Rfam by way of RNAcentral. Lineage: Eukaryota; Metazoa; Chordata; Mammalia; Rodentia; Caviidae.